CCUACGGGUGGCAGCAGUGAGGAAUAUUGGUCAAUGGACGGAAGUCUGAACCAGCCAUGCCGCGUGCAGGAAGACGGCUCUAUGAGUUGUAAACUGCUUUUGUACAAGGGUAAACCUGAAUACGUGUAUUCAGCUGAAAGUACUGUACGAAUAAGGAUCGGCUAACUCCGUGCCAGCAGCCGCGGUAAUACGUAGGUGGCAAGCGUUGUCCGGAUUUACUGGGUGUAAAGGGCGUGCAGCCGGGAAGACAAGUCAGAUGUGAAAUCCCGCGGCUCAACCGCGGAACUGCAUUUGAAACUGUUUUUCUUGAGUACCGGAGAGGUCAUCGGAAUUCCUUGUGUAGCGGUGAAAUGCGUAGAUAUAAGGAAGAACACCAGUGGCGAAGGCGGAUGACUGGACGGCAACUGACGGUGAGGCGCGAAAGCGUGGGGAGCAAACAGGAUUAGAUACCCCAGUAGUC
Molecule: ribosomal RNA, 460 nt
Filed under: uncultured bacterium
Lineage: Bacteria
Description: partial 16S ribosomal RNA
Rfam family: Bacterial small subunit ribosomal RNA
Source: RNAcentral